RNAcentral lists this ribosomal RNA (479 nucleotides) under Acidobacteria bacterium UCL-039. RNAcentral describes it as "bacterial SSU rRNA". It matches the Rfam family "Bacterial small subunit ribosomal RNA", at positions 32 to 490 of the family's 1533-position model. Lineage: Bacteria; Pseudomonadati; Acidobacteriota. The record is from RNAcentral.
AACGCUGGCGGCGUGCCUAACACAUGCAAGUCGAACGCGAAAGGGGCUUCGGUCCUUAGUAGAGUGGCGAACGGGUGAGUAACGCGUGGGUGAUCUACCUUCGAGUGGGGGAUAACGUUCCGAAAGGGGCGCUAAUACCGCAUGACGUUCUGGGUUUAAAGACCUGGAAACCAAAGCCGGGGACCGCAAGGCCUGGCGCUUGAAGAGGAGCCCGCGUCCGAUUAGCUAGUUGGCGGGGUAACGGCCCACCAAGGCGACGAUCGGUAGCCGGCCUGAGAGGGCGGACGGCCACACUGGGACUGAGACACGGUCCAGACUCCUACGGGAGGCAGCAGUGGGGAAUUGUUCACAAUGGGCGCAAGCCUGAUGACGCAACGCCGCGUGGGGGAUGAAGGUCUUCGGAUUGUAAACCCCUGUCGAAUGGGACGAAUAGCCCGCGAGUUAAUACUGCGCGGGAGUGACGGUACCGUUAAAGGAAG